This 164-nucleotide ribosomal RNA is filed under the name Elymus fedtschenkoi. RNAcentral's name for it is "5.8S ribosomal RNA". It matches the Rfam family "5.8S ribosomal RNA". From Rfam's summary of the family: 5.8S ribosomal RNA (5.8S rRNA) is a component of the large subunit of the eukaryotic ribosome. It is transcribed by RNA polymerase I as part of the 45S precursor that also contains 18S and 28S rRNA. Lineage: Eukaryota; Viridiplantae; Streptophyta; Magnoliopsida; Poales; Poaceae. The record is from RNAcentral.
CACACGACUCUCGGCAACGGAUAUCUCGGCUUUCGCAUCGAUGAAGAACGUAGCGAAAUGCGAUACCUGGUGUGAAUUGCAGAAUCCCGCGAACCAUCGAGUCUUUGAACGCAAGUUGCGCCCGAGGCCACUCGGCCGAGAGCACGCCUGCCUGGGCGUCACGC